This is a non-coding RNA of Strigops habroptila (Kakapo), 556 nucleotides long. The record is from the annotation of a RefSeq genome assembly. Lineage: Eukaryota; Metazoa; Chordata; Aves; Psittaciformes; Psittacidae.
UUCUCUACUUGAAGGGCUUUAGAACGUUUUGUCUCCGUUUCAUUCCCAGGUUUAACCUGCUAAGGCAGCAUGUUGCUGCUUCCACUCUUUCUUGCAGCUUCGCUUUGGUCCCGUGGAGACACAUGGACAGUGCCGGUGCAAACCCCAACGCUGCAAAGGCAGAUGCAGGGCACAUCCACCAGCAUGUUGUGCCAAUUGCAAGCUGAAGACACUGUGCACUGGUACAAGCAUCUUCCCGGAAAGCCACCAACGAGGAUACUGUAUGUGUGGGGACAGUCACCUACUUUUGAUCAGAGAAGCGAUAGCAGGAGAUUUGAAGUUCAGAAACAUCCUACUAAGUAUCAUUAUACUCUCACGAUAAAGGAUUUGACUCCAAGGGAUUCUGGUACUUACUACUGUGCGUAUUGGCAUUACAGAGGCAUCACAGCGUUAGUUGGGCAAAGAUAAGCUGUACAAAAAGGUGCUUUGUGACUGAACCGCAAGCUCUGAACUCUGCUAAAAAUACUUGCCUAUUCCCGCCUCUCUCUCUCAUGAUUUUCUGCAGCAGGAUACACAA